UACGGAGGGUGCUAACGUUGUUCGGAAUCACUGGGCGUAAAGCGCGUGUAGGCGGCAUGAUAAGUCAGAUGUGAAAGCCCUCUGCUCAACGGAGGAAGUGCAUUUGAAACUGUCAAGCUAGAAUACGGGAGAGGCUAGUGGAAUUCCAGGUGUAGAGGUGAAAUUCGUAGAUAUCUGGAGGAACACCCGUGGCGAAGGCGGCUAGCUGGACCGAUAUUGACGCUGAGACGCGAAAGCGUGGGGAGCAAACAGGAUUAGAUACCCGCGUA
RNAcentral lists this ribosomal RNA (269 nucleotides) under uncultured prokaryote. RNAcentral describes it as "partial 16S ribosomal RNA". It matches the Rfam family "Bacterial small subunit ribosomal RNA", at positions 524 to 792 of the family's 1533-position model. The record is from RNAcentral.